UACGAAGGGUCCUAGCGUUGUUCGGAAUUACUGGGCGUAAAGGGCGCGUAGGCGGCCCGCUAAGUCAGGUGUGAAAUCCCCAAGCUUAACUUGGGAACUGCAUUUGAUACUGGCAGGCUAGAGAUCGAAAGAGGUGAGUAGAAUUCCUAGUGUAGAGGUGAAAUUCGUAGAUAUUAGGAAGAAUACCAGAGGCGAAGGCGGCUCACUGGUUCGAUACUGACGCUAAGGCGCGAAAGCGUGGGGAGCAAACAGG
Molecule: ribosomal RNA, 253 nt
Filed under: uncultured bacterium
Lineage: Bacteria
Description: partial 16S ribosomal RNA
Rfam family: Bacterial small subunit ribosomal RNA
Source: RNAcentral